Molecule: ribosomal RNA, 293 nt
Filed under: uncultured bacterium
Lineage: Bacteria
Description: partial 16S ribosomal RNA
Rfam family: Archaeal small subunit ribosomal RNA
Source: RNAcentral
GUGCCAGCCGCCGCGGUAAUACCGGCAGCACGAGUGAUGGCCGAUGUUAUUGGGCCUAAAGCGUCCGUAGCCGGCCGGACAAGUCCGUUGGGAAAUCGACGCGCUCAACGCGUCGGCGUCCAGCGGAAACUGUCCGGCUUGGGGCCGGAAGACCCGAGGGGUACGUCCGGGGUAGGAGUGAAAUCCCGUAAUCCUGGACGGACCGCCGGUGGCGAAAGCGCCUCGGGAGGACGGACCCGACGGUGAGGGACGAAAGCCAGGGUCUCGAACCGGAUUAGAUACCCGUGUAGUCC